GCUGGCUGGUUGGUUGACGAGUCACCUGAGUCGGUUUGUGGCGGGAGCUGAAGCCUUCAGACAGGUGAUUGGAUGCAACGAUGACGGCGAAUCAGUGACGCAUCAUCAGAUCACCACCGAGGAAGAAGCAGCGACGUCGUCCUCAGACAUGGCCGAUGUUCGGUUACAGUAGUCGACCCAUGUGGACCAGAUAUACCAGAAGGAGACCCCGAACUUCACCAAUCCUCCGACUCCAAACCAACCCUCACUCCAAUCCGUUCGUCCUCAGGUGUCGCCUCCAUCACUCAGACCGCUUCAGACGCGUAUGUGCCAUCCCCGCAUUUCAGAGUCAUCCAUCCAUUUGUAGCCCAGCCGACCACUGACCCGAACUCCCUCCGCCCUCCCGUCAGCCAUCCGUCACCUUUCCCAAAUCGAGCUGAUGGUGGAACUGUGUGGCAACCUUCACCCUACCAUCCAUCAGAAACAGAGAGUAACCCAAGUUAUGAGAAUCCAGGUAUUGGACCUGAAUCUUUGGAGAGCGACGCUGAUGAAGCCGGAUCCGGAUACAUAAUCGUGAUACCCGAAGGACAAGAUCCUGUGACCAAUCGAAGCGGAGCCUCAACGCCCAGUUCAGAUGUUCAGAACGACCACGACUAUGUGAACAUCGCAAAGGAAGCUUCAACAGACUAUCUGAAUGUGGACUCGAUGUACAAUCAAAGGCCGACAUCAGCGACAACGGCUACAACUGACAGCGACGACGACGAUGAUGACGAUGAAACAGGAAACUACGUGAACCAACAACCUAUGAUCCACAGCUAACCAGGUGCAGGAUGGGACAAGACGACCGACUGAGCUUCAUUCUUCUUCCUUCACAAAACUGCUGACGGUGUUUAUUUAAAGAGCUGAGAGAUGUUUCCCCACCGAGAACUGAGAAUUCCUGCUCGUGUUCAACGUCACGUUUAAAUUCAUUUUAGGUUUUUUUUAUUACCUUUUCAAUCAUCACUUCUUUCCUACAAUCUGAAUCUGUCCUCCACACAGAGGAGCUACCAUGUUUGAGCUUUACUUUGACUUUACUGACAAUCCUGAGAAUGUCUUGAUUCGCUAAUGAUCUAUUUGUGUUGUUGCCGUGGUUACUGUUGUCUCCAGGUCUAUAAUCCAACUGUGUGAACGAGAAAUGUUUUUAAGCAACUACAAUUCAAUUAAACAUAUACAAACCUCG
Molecule: long non-coding RNA, 1198 nt
Organism: Amphiprion ocellaris (clown anemonefish)
Lineage: Eukaryota; Metazoa; Chordata; Actinopteri; Pomacentridae
Source: Ensembl